UACGUAGGGUGCGAGCGUUGUCCGGAAUUACUGGGCGUAAAGAGCUCGUAGGUGGUUUGUCGCGUUGUUCGUGAAAACCGGGGGCUUAACCCUCGGCGUGCGGGCGAUACGGGCAGACUUGAGUACUGCAGGGGAGACUGGAAUUCCUGGUGUAGCGGUGGAUGCGCAGAUAUCAGGAGGAACACCGGUGGCGAAGGCGGGGUCUCUGGGCAGUAACUGACG
RNAcentral lists this ribosomal RNA (222 nucleotides) under uncultured bacterium. RNAcentral's name for it is "partial 16S ribosomal RNA". It matches the Rfam family "Bacterial small subunit ribosomal RNA", at positions 524 to 745 of the family's 1533-position model. The record is from RNAcentral.